ACGGAAGGCAGCAGUGAGGAAUAUUGGUCAAUGGGCGGAAGCCUGAACCAGCCAAGUCGUGUGAAGGAUGAAGGUAUUAUGUAUUGUAAACUUCUUUAGCCAGGGGGCAAUAAGGCGUACGCGUACGCCGAUGAGAGUACCUGGAGAAUAAGGAUCGGCUAACUCCGUGCCAGCAGCCGCGGUAAUACGGAGGAUCCGAGCGUUAUCCGGAUUUAUUGGGUUUAAAGGGUGCGCAGGCGGCUUUUUAAGUCAGUGGUUAAAUCGUGACGCUCAACGUCAUCACGCCAUUGAUACUGGAGAGCUUGAUUGCGGUCGAGGUUUGCGGAAUUCGUCGUGUAGCGGUGAAAUGCAUAGAUAUGACGAAGAACACCGAUUGCGUAGGCAGCAGACCAGGCCGUAAAUGACGCUCAUGCACGAAAGUGCGGGGAUCGAACAGGAUUAGAUACCCUGGUA
This 453-nucleotide ribosomal RNA is filed under the name uncultured Porphyromonadaceae bacterium. RNAcentral's name for it is "partial 16S ribosomal RNA". It matches the Rfam family "Bacterial small subunit ribosomal RNA", at positions 341 to 792 of the family's 1533-position model. Lineage: Bacteria; Pseudomonadati; Bacteroidota; Bacteroidia; Bacteroidales; Porphyromonadaceae. The record is from RNAcentral.